GAUGAACGCUGGCGGCGUGCCUAAUACAUGCAAGUCGAGCGAACAGACGAGGAGCUUGCUCCUCUGACGUUAGCGGCGGACGGGGUAGUAACACGUGGAUAACCUACCUAUAAGACUGGGAUAACUUCGGGAAACCGGAGCUAAUACCGGAUAAUAUAUUGAACCGCAUGGUUCAAUAGUGAAAGACGGUUUUGCUGUCACUUAUAGAUGGAUCCGCGCCGCAUUAGCUAGUUGGUAAGGUAACGGCUUACCAAGGCAACGAUGCGUAGCCGACCUGAGAGGGUGAUCGGCCACACUGGAGCUGAGACACGGUCCAGACUCCUACGGGAGGCAGCAGUAGGGAAUCUUCCGCAAUGGGCGAAAGCCUGACGGAGCAACGCCGCGUGAGUGAUGAAGGUCUUCGGAUCGUAAAACUCUGUUAUUAGGGAAGAACAAAUGUGUAAGUAACUAUGCACGUCUUGACGGUACCUAAUCAGAAAGCCACGGCUAACUACGUG
RNAcentral lists this ribosomal RNA (497 nucleotides) under uncultured bacterium. RNAcentral's name for it is "partial 16S ribosomal RNA". It matches the Rfam family "Bacterial small subunit ribosomal RNA", at positions 28 to 507 of the family's 1533-position model. The record is from RNAcentral.